CCUACGGGUGGCAGCAGUAGGGAAUAUUGCUCAAUGGGGGAAACCCUGAAGCAGCAACGCCGCGUGGAGGAUGAAGGUGUUCGGAUUGUAAGCUCCUUUUUUUAGAGAAGAUAAUGACGGUAUCUAACGAAUAAUCACCGUCUAACUCCGUGCCAGCUGCCGCGGUAAUACGGCGGGUGCAAGCGUUACUCGGAAUCACUGGGCGUAAAGCGGGCGUAGGCGGGAUAGCAAGUCAGAUGGGAAAUCCUAUGGCUUAACCAUAGAACUGCAUUUGAAACUGUUAUUCUAGAGUAUGGGAGAGGGAGGUGGAAUUCGUGGUGUAGGGGUAAAAUCCGUAGAGAUCGAGCAGAACACUCAUUGCGAAGGCGGCCUGCUAGAACAUCACUGACGCUGAUGCGCGAAAGCGUGGGGAUCGAACAGGAUUAGAUACCCCAGUAGUC
RNAcentral lists this ribosomal RNA (440 nucleotides) under uncultured bacterium. RNAcentral describes it as "partial 16S ribosomal RNA". It matches the Rfam family "Bacterial small subunit ribosomal RNA", at positions 338 to 795 of the family's 1533-position model. The record is from RNAcentral.